Molecule: ribosomal RNA, 191 nt
Filed under: uncultured bacterium
Lineage: Bacteria
Description: partial 16S ribosomal RNA
Rfam family: Bacterial small subunit ribosomal RNA
Source: RNAcentral
AUUCGCCUUCAUGAAGUCGGAAUUGCUAGUAAUGGCAGGUCAGCAUACUGCCGUGAAUACGUUCCCGGGCCUUGUACACACCGCCCGUCACACCAUGAGAGUUGGAGAUACCCGAAGCUUAUGAGCUUAACUUUUAGAGGCAGUAGUCGAAGGUAGAAUCAAUGAUUGGGGUGAAGUCGUAACAAGGUAGC